This 23-nucleotide non-coding RNA is filed under the name Cricetulus griseus (Chinese hamster). The record is from RNAcentral. Lineage: Eukaryota; Metazoa; Chordata; Mammalia; Rodentia; Cricetidae.
CGGCCAAAGAAGGCUGACCGCCA